GCUCCAAUAGUCCAAUUGGUAGAGACGGCACGCUUAGAACGUGCGCGAUCCAGGUUCGAAUCCUGGUUGGAGCACCA
Molecule: transfer RNA, 77 nt
Filed under: Bradyrhizobium sp.
Lineage: Bacteria; Pseudomonadati; Pseudomonadota; Alphaproteobacteria; Hyphomicrobiales; Nitrobacteraceae
Description: tRNA-Leu
Rfam family: tRNA
About the family: Transfer RNA (tRNA) molecules are approximately 80 nucleotides in length.
Source: RNAcentral